UGGGGAAUAUUGCGCAAUGGGGGGAACCCUGACGCAGCCAUGCCGCGUGAAUGAAGAAGGCCUUAGGGUUGUAAAGUUCUUUCGGUAUUGAGGAAGGUUGAUGUGUUAAUAGCACAUCAAAUUGACGUUAAAUACAGAAGAAGCACCGGCUAACUCCGUGCCAGCAGCCGCGGUAAUACGGAGGGUGCGAGCGUUAAUCGGAAUAACUGGGCGUAAAGGGCACGCAGGCGGUUAUUUAAGUGAGGUGUGAAAGCCCCGGGCUUAACCUGGGAAUUGCAUUUCAGACUGGGUAACUAGAGUACUUUAGGGAGGGGUAGAAUUCCACGUGUAGCGGUGAAAUGCGUAGAGAUGUGAAGGAAUACCGAAGGCGAAGGCAGCCCCUUGGGAAUGUACUGACGCUCAUGUGCGAAAGCGUGGGGAGCAAACAGGAUUAGAUACCCUGGUAGUCCACGCUGUAAACGCUGUCGAUUUGGGGGUUGGGGUUUAGCUCUGGCGCCCGUAGCUAACGUGAUAAAUCGACCGCCUGGGGAGUACGGCCGCAAGGUUA
RNAcentral lists this ribosomal RNA (547 nucleotides) under uncultured bacterium. RNAcentral's name for it is "bacterial SSU rRNA". It matches the Rfam family "Bacterial small subunit ribosomal RNA", at positions 355 to 896 of the family's 1533-position model. The record is from RNAcentral.